Molecule: long non-coding RNA, 1183 nt
Organism: Phyllostomus discolor (pale spear-nosed bat)
Lineage: Eukaryota; Metazoa; Chordata; Mammalia; Chiroptera; Phyllostomidae
Exons: 3
Source: RefSeq, a predicted model, not a curated record
CCUCUGCUUAGAUGAUAAGUUUCUGUAUCCACAAAAAUUAAAUCCUCCUGUUACCACUUACUGGAUCACUAAACCCCUCUAGAGUGGUGACUCCUGUGCCUUUACCCCUGGUCCUGUUUGGAGGCUGUGUGUGCUGCAGCCUGGGGAGAGGAAGCCCUGCUGACAGGACCGACAUCAGCAAGGGCAGCUGCACUGUCAGCUGCUUUAUAUAUUGUGGUUUCACUGCUUUAAGAGGUUUUUUUUUAAUCACUGCACUAGAUGAGUCAAGAAAAGAAAAUGUGCACCUAUAUUUCAGGAUUUCUAGCUCAGUCCACCCAGGCCUGACACAUCAUACCAUUUCUUGGUAGAACUGAGCUGUGAGUUAAAAACCAAGCAAACCACAUGCUUGUGUAAAGACCUUUCUUUCUGCCCUCUUCUCACUUGUUAUUUCUUACUGUCUUUCGUGCACCAGUCACAUUAUGCAUUUUCUUUUUGUGUUUUUAUGACCGCUGGGGUUCCUUUUAGAGGAAUACCAUAAGAGCGAAGAAAUUAAUGCAUCAAAGGACCUCAAGCAGAAAAAUCCAUCUGACCUGGUGACAGUUGCUCUGGGUUCAAUCAAAGAGUAGAGGAAAAAGCAACUUAACUGAAUUUGGUCAGAGAGAAACUUUGAAGCUCACAGCAAGGCUGUUAAGAUAUAUGCCCUUGGAAAUCUUGAAGGCACCAGGUGACGGUACCCAUGGUGACUGGUGGAUUUGAGGUCCUACCCAGAUGGAGAACUAAUGACCAUAUGUGUGCUUCCCAUGGCAACUGACUUGUCCACUUACUCCUAAAAGCAGCAGGGAGGUGACCUUAAGCCAGUGUCAGAUUCUAUCACUUAACAUGUGACACAACCCUUUCCUUUCCAGAAGAACUACAAACAUUUAAUUUCAGUGGAAGCAAUGUACACAAUCUUGUCCCUCAAAGUGUCUGGAAAAGCUUUAAAAAAAACUUUUAAUACUGGUACAAAUAAGUCAAACCUGUGACUACUUUUUAUGUCUUCAAAUACAAAGGCAUUAUUAUUUGAUAAGGUAUAUUUUAUAAGAAUAUGAAAUUUCUCCUUUUUAAUUGGCAGGUUUGAGGUAGCUUGAAACAGGGAAAUAUUGGCAAGAACACCAGACAUCAUGACUGGGAAAUGAGUUUUGUUCCUCACACUGAGGAGUCGUGG